GUCCUAGCCGUAAACGGUGCACAUUUGCUGUGAGAGGAUUCGACCCCUUUCGUGGCGUAGCAAACGCGUUAAAUGUGCCGCCUGGGGAGUACGGUCGCAAGAUUAAAACUCAAAGAAAUUGACGGGGGCCUGCACAAGCGGUGGAGUAUGUGGCUUAAUUCGAUGCAACGCGAAGAACCUUACCUGGCCUUGACAUGCAGGUGGUAGAAGCCCGAAAGGGUAACGACCCCGCAAGGGGAGCUUGCACAGGUGCUGCAUGGCUGUCGU
This 267-nucleotide ribosomal RNA is filed under the name uncultured bacterium. Its description in RNAcentral is "partial 16S ribosomal RNA". It matches the Rfam family "Bacterial small subunit ribosomal RNA", at positions 793 to 1055 of the family's 1533-position model. The record is from RNAcentral.